UACAGAGGGUGCGAGCGUUAAUCGGAAUUACUGGGCGUAAAGCGCACGUAGGUGGCGACGUAAGUCGGGUGUGAAAGCCCCGGGCUCAACCUGGGAAUUGCAUUCGAGACUGCAUUGCUGGAGUACGGAAGAGGAGGGCGGAAUUCCCGGUGUAGCGGUGAGAUGCGUAGAUAUCGGGAGGAACAUCAGUGGCGAAGGCGGCCCUCUGGUGCAGUACUGACACUCAAGUGCGAAAUCGUGGGGAGCAAACAGG
This 253-nucleotide ribosomal RNA is filed under the name uncultured bacterium. RNAcentral's name for it is "partial 16S ribosomal RNA". It matches the Rfam family "Bacterial small subunit ribosomal RNA", at positions 524 to 776 of the family's 1533-position model. The record is from RNAcentral.